UACGUAGGAGGCAAGCGUUGUCCGGAAUCACUGGGCGUAAAGCGCGUGUAGGUGGAAGAGGAAGUCUGCUGUGAAAGCGCCUGGCUUAACCGGGCGAGGUCGGUGGAAACUCCUCAUCUAGAGGUCGGUAGAGGGGGGUGGAAUUCCGGGUGUAGUGGUGAAAUGCGUAGAGAUCCGGAGGAACACCUGUGGCGAAGGCGGCCCCCUGGGCCGCACCUGACGCUGAGACGCGAAAGCGCGGGGAGCGAACGGG
RNAcentral lists this ribosomal RNA (253 nucleotides) under uncultured bacterium. RNAcentral's name for it is "partial 16S ribosomal RNA". It matches the Rfam family "Bacterial small subunit ribosomal RNA", at positions 524 to 776 of the family's 1533-position model. The record is from RNAcentral.